UACAGAGGGUGCAAGCGUUGCUCGGAUUUACUGGGCGUAAAGCGUACGCAGACGGUGAGAAAGGUCGAAUGUGAAAGCCCCGGGCUCAACCCGGGAACUGCAUCCGAAACCAUUUCGCUAGAGUAUGAGAGAGGGAAGCAGAAUUCCUGGUGUAGAGGUGAAAUUCGUAGAUAUCAGGAGGAAUACCUGCGGCGAAGGCGGCUUCCUGGCUCAUUACUGACGUUCAGGUACGAAAGCGUGGGUAGCAAACAGG
This 253-nucleotide ribosomal RNA is filed under the name uncultured bacterium. Its description in RNAcentral is "partial 16S ribosomal RNA". It matches the Rfam family "Bacterial small subunit ribosomal RNA", at positions 524 to 776 of the family's 1533-position model. The record is from RNAcentral.